This 1734-nucleotide long non-coding RNA is filed under the name Cicer arietinum (chickpea). RNAcentral's name for it is "long non-coding RNA (CARI_LNC000745)". The record is from RNAcentral. Lineage: Eukaryota; Viridiplantae; Streptophyta; Magnoliopsida; Fabales; Fabaceae.
AAAAACUAGCUGAGAGACACAACACAACACUGUCUUUUUUGUCUUAAAAUAACAACCAUGUCUUCUCUACUCUCUACAACUACAACUACACUUCAACAUACUCAUAAUAAAAUCUUCUUCUCUCCUCUAAAACUCACCACCUCAUUUAACAGUUCUUUCUCAGCAAACCAUUUCAACACUCAUUCUAUUAUAAGGUGCAAUGCACUUUCUGAUAUCAUCCCCAAAGACUUAUUUAAGAACACUUAUUAUUUGGAUCAGUUUCAGAGUGUGAGUGAGGACUUAACAGACAUGCAAAGGUUUGGGAUUUUGGUAUUUGUUGGGUUGACAUGGUUUUACUUAACUGCAAGACCAGGUGUUCUUUUUGGUGCCAUUGAUGCAUUCCUUUUGGCUCCAAUGCAAUUUGUUUUGGAUAGUUUAUCUGGAAGGAGAAACAUGAAAAGAAGUGAUUUCUUGAUUGGUAGUAAGAUAGGAGAAGGGUCAUUUGGUGUUGUUUAUUCUGGUGUUUUGGUUCCAAAGAAUGUGGAUGUAAAAGAGAUGAUGAUGCAGAAGAGUGGAAGAGGCAAUUUGGAUGCUAAUUCUAAGGAUAAAGUCAUUCUUAAAAAGGUAUUUUUGAGAUGAGAUGUUCAUUUAUUAUAUAUUUGCUUCCUAACCCAAUUGUUUGAUUGUUGGAAUAAUCGUGACUUUCACUUUAUUUGAACUAAAUUGGUACUAUUUUCUGAGCUUGUUUCUCUACUUGAAUCUGAUGCAACUGUUUUUACUUGGACUACAAACAUAUUUAAUCAAUUUUAAAUUAAACUUCCCAUCUUGUUUAUUUUGUUCUUGGUAAUUUACAAACUUAUGUGGUGACAUAUGGCAUGCCAUUUUUCAACUUAGUUACAUAAGAUGUAUGUAUUUUAUUCUUUUUUUAUAGUUUUUUUUAUCUUUUAUUUUAUUGUUUAUUAUAUGAAGCAACAAUAAGAGCAAAGACUAUUCACUAGAAACACACGAUUAGCUAUUUGUUCAGAAAAUCUAAAGACAUUGACCUAAUUGGCAAACGAAUACAAGAAAAGCUUAAAAUUCAAUCCAUAUUCAUCGUAACAAUAAUGUCCAUGAGUUUAUACUUUCAAGGAGCUACAUCCAUGUUUCUACUUUUAAGAAGCUACGUCAAUCGUCUUCGGCAGUUCAAGUAAUUUUUAUGUGUUGGUUUACCGGAAAUUACUUUUACUAUAUAAUCUGAAAAAAAAUUAUGCAACAUAAAUAUGCUGCAUUUUUUAAUAAAUAUUUAAGGAGUGUCCUAAAUAAUUGUUUUUUUUUAUUUUUUAUUUUUGUCAUAGAUUGUUUGAAGUUUUUGGAUGAGGUUUCAAGUGAUUUUGAACCAAUAAAAUAUGUAGAAAAACAGGGGGGAUAAAGUAAUGAGAGCAACCUAUGCUGACAUUAUUUUAUUUAUUUUUUUCAAGUUUUUAAGUACAUGAAAAACUAGCUGAGAGACACAACACAACACUGUCUUUUUUGUCUUAAAAUAACAACCAUGUCUUCUCUACUCUCUACAACUACAACUACACUUCAACAUACUCAUAAUAAAAUCUUCUUCUCUCCUCUAAAACUCACCACCUCAUUUAACAGUUCUUUCUCAGCAAACCAUUUCAACACUCAUUCUAUUAUAAGGUGCAAUGCACUUUCUGAUAUCAUCCCCAAAGACUUAUUUAAGAACACUUAUUAUUUGGAUCAGUUUCAGAGUGUGAGUGAGGACUUAAC